This 329-nucleotide unclassified non-coding RNA is filed under the name soil metagenome. RNAcentral describes it as "partial contains 5.8S ribosomal RNA, internal transcribed spacer 2, and large subunit ribosomal RNA". The stretch from base 1 to 120 matches the Rfam family "5.8S ribosomal RNA", at positions 35 to 154 of the family's 154-position model. The record is from RNAcentral.
GAUGAAGAACGCAGCGAAAUGCGAUAAGUAGUGUGAAUUGCAGAAUUCAGUGAAUCAUCGAAUCUUUGAACGCACAUUGCGCCCCUUGGUAUCCCGAGGGGCAUGCCUGUUCGAGCGUCAUUUCACCACUCAAGCCUGGCUUGGUGUUGGGCGACGUCCUCUUUGGGGACGCGCCUCGAAACGCUCGGCGGCGUGGCACCGGCUUUAAGCGUAGCAGAAUCUUUCGCUUUGGAAGUCGGGGCCCCGUCUGCCGGAAGACCUACUCGCAAGGUUGACCUCGGAUCAGGCAGGGAUACCCGCUGAACUUAAGCAUAUCAAUAAGCGGAUGA